Molecule: small nucleolar RNA, 138 nt
Filed under: Drosophila sechellia
Lineage: Eukaryota; Metazoa; Arthropoda; Insecta; Diptera; Drosophilidae
Also listed under: 1 other name
Description: snoRNA:GM27642
Rfam family: Small nucleolar RNA psi18S-841/snoR66
About the family: psi18S-841 is a member of the H/ACA class of snoRNA. This family is responsible for guiding the modification of uridine 841 in Drosophila 18S rRNA to pseudouridine.
Source: RNAcentral
UGCAAAUGCACUCUGUGUCACAUCGAAUUUAACUACAUGUGAAAACAAUUUGUUAGUUUGCUAUAGGAAAGAGAUGAGACUUAUCCGUGCAAUUAGUGCCGUAAAAGGUUGAUUGCAUUGAAAUCGCAUUUUACACUA